UUGAUAGACCUGAAUGAGGUAUUAAAAUUUAAGCGAUUGUAAUUGAACGGGAUUUGAUGAUACUCCCUUUGUUGAAUAUGACGUCCGGAACGAGUUAAUCUUGCAUCAUCAUAAUCGAAGUCAUCAUCAGAGGAGUCAUCACUUUCUUAUGCCUCCUUGCACUUGUACUUGCUCCACCAAUACGUCCUCCUUGAGCACUUAUUUGUGCUCCUUGUGGCACCACCGGUUGUUGAGAGGCGUUUGGGUUGGAGACAUCACCUCAUAGAGGCACUUCUUGAUUCCCC
This 284-nucleotide long non-coding RNA is filed under the name Setaria viridis. Its description in RNAcentral is "long non-coding RNA (SVIR_LNC005327)". Lineage: Eukaryota; Viridiplantae; Streptophyta; Magnoliopsida; Poales; Poaceae. The record is from RNAcentral.